RNAcentral lists this long non-coding RNA (246 nucleotides) under Mus spicilegus (steppe mouse). Its description in RNAcentral is "lncRNA (ENSMSIG00000009387.1)". Lineage: Eukaryota; Metazoa; Chordata; Mammalia; Rodentia; Muridae. The record is from RNAcentral.
CAGAUUUUCAAGGUGUAAGAAUUAAUUAUCAGUUUGAAAAAGCAAAGAUUAUUCAUGUCAAUGCUGCAUGGCUUACAGUUAGCUGUGCCCAGAUCAACUUCAUGAUUGCUUCCUUAAUAGAAUAAGAACAGCAAAAAAGGCUUCUUGGAGAAACAUAGCUAUAGUACCAUCGCUUUCUUCAAAAGAUGGGCUCGAAGACUGUACAUUUGUGCAGCAGUCUUUGCGGUAUUAAAAAAAGAAGAAGAU